UUGCGGAGGGUUUGGUUUCCUAUAGGGGGCUCCUUUGGAGGUGUUUUCCCCUAAUUUGUCCAAAACCAGGACAAAUAAUUUGGUGGCCCGUACGGGGAAGCCCAGACAAAGUGGAAAAAACUUUAUUCUAAUAAUAUUUUUGGCUUUAACCGUUCUGCGGGAAUAUUGGUAUGUCUUUCUUUAAAGUUAUGAUGUCAUUGGGAGUGAAAGCCUGCCUCUAUUUGUGGUCAUUAGGGUUCUUCGAAGUUUUGAUCGCUUUAUGGUCCCUGGAGUUAUUUUCUUAUCCAGAAGUAGCUCCGACAUCGGACCUACUCCGGGCAGGAGCUCCCCCGGGGUCUGCGAAAGAAGCUGCGUACCCUCUGCGGCGAAGAGAGAUAGAGCUCAACCCCCUUGGACUGGUGAAAACAUCUGUGGUCAUCUUGGGCUAUUUCUCUUGUGCUGGGGAGUGUUUUUUCGUUGUGCCUUAAUAAACAAGUUUUUUCCACUUUC
This is a long non-coding RNA of Vidua chalybeata, 489 nucleotides long. RefSeq lists it as uncharacterized. The record is from RefSeq and is a predicted model, not a curated record. The transcript is spliced from 2 exons. Lineage: Eukaryota; Metazoa; Chordata; Aves; Passeriformes; Viduidae.